UAAUUCUAUCAUUUAUAGGGAAGUAAAUAAUUAAUUUAGCUUGUUAUAUAUAUACAUUAUUGUUUGUAUUACUUAUGUAUAAGGUAUAAGUACACUAAUACUUCCUUGGAUCACAUGAAGCUACAAUGGGAAGAGGAGCUGGGCUCACGGAUAUUAGAAAUGUCUUGGGGGUUAGCUAUUGGUCCGGUUUAUUCCUCAUCAAUAGGCAUAAGGCAUAUUCCACUGGCCCCAUCUGACAUCAAAUGACAAAUGACAAAUAGUAUUAAGAAUAAUGACCUUCACUCCACUGCUUACUCAACAAGUAAUUCUCCUCAAAUAAAAAGCUAAAAUCUCAAACAGCUAAAAUAUACAUAGUCAAGGCUCAACCAGUAAGUUUGAUAAGAUCUGGCAAACCUUUCUGCUCUUUUUUUCAAAACUGGACAAAUCCCCAUUAAUGUACAGUUGUUUUUUGUCUCUCUUUUUGUGUUGUGUUAGCAUGUGUUUAUGUAUAGGACGGAUGUAAAAUAUUAGAAUUUACAUAUUUGAUAACUUGAAGAGCAGUUUGAUAUCCUAGGUGCAUGUAAAUAAUAACACAAUAGACACCAUGACUGCAGUGAUCUGACGAGUCGGAUCGAGCCAUGUUUCUGCGACAGCUGUCCUUUUGUAUGGCAGCUGUAGUGGGAAUGUGUCACUUGAUUCUUGAUUUGUGAGCAUCUUCUUAUCUACACAUACUUGAAACCUCGUCUUUUGUUUUAGGUGCUGAUACUUGCCUUCCUUUCCACUGGACAGAGUACCAGUGAGGUUGUGGAUCAAAAGUGGAAUUCAUGUUAUAUACUGUGCCCGCCUGGCUUUUAUAAAGUUGGUGGAUGUGAUGACCCAGUCGCAAAGUACAGAUGUGAAGAAUGCAAAAAUAACACAUUCACAACAAUAGAACACUCUUACACAAAAUGCGAGAGGUGCAGCACAUGUGCUCAUAAUGAGGAGACAAUAAAGUCCUGCACCCUUAACAGUAAUGUGGUAUGUGACUGUAUGGAGGGAUUCUACCUCAAGAAAAUGUUUUCUCACGACUCGCGUGAUUGUCGGGAAUGCACGUGUGAAAAGUGUGAAAAGUUGUAUAAUAUUCUUGACUACAGAAGGAAGUGCCAGC
Long non-coding RNA from Cyclopterus lumpus (lumpfish), 1126 nucleotides. RefSeq lists it as uncharacterized. The record is from RefSeq and is a predicted model, not a curated record. Lineage: Eukaryota; Metazoa; Chordata; Actinopteri; Perciformes; Cyclopteridae. The transcript is spliced from 4 exons.